This 465-nucleotide ribosomal RNA is filed under the name Vreelandella stevensii. RNAcentral describes it as "partial 16S ribosomal RNA". It matches the Rfam family "Bacterial small subunit ribosomal RNA", at positions 338 to 795 of the family's 1533-position model. Lineage: Bacteria; Pseudomonadati; Pseudomonadota; Gammaproteobacteria; Oceanospirillales; Halomonadaceae. The record is from RNAcentral.
CCUACGGGGGGCUGCAGUGGGGAAUAUUGGACAAUGGGCGAAAGCCUGAUCCAGCCAUGCCGCGUGUGUGAAGAAGGCCUUCGGGUUGUAAAGCACUUUCAGUGGGGAAGAAAGCCUUGGGGCUAAUACCCUCGAGGAAGUACAUCACCCACAGAAGAAGCACCGGCUAACUCCGUGCCAGCAGCCGCGGUAAUACGGAGGGUGCGAGCGUUAAUCGGAAUUACUGGGCGUAAAGCGCGCGUAGGCGGUCUGAUAAGCCGGUUGUGAAAGCCCCGGGCUCAACCUGGGAACGGCAUCCGGAACUGUCAGGCUAGAGUGCAGGAGAGGAAGGUAGAAUUCCCGGUGUAGCGGUGAAAUGCGUAGAGAUCGGGAGGAAUACCAGUGGCGAAGGCGGCCUUCUGGACUGACACUGACGCUGAGGUGCGAAAGCGUGGGUAGCAAACAGGAUUAGAUACCCUGGUAGUC